Molecule: transfer RNA, 62 nt
Filed under: bovine gut metagenome
Rfam family: tRNA
About the family: Transfer RNA (tRNA) molecules are approximately 80 nucleotides in length. Their secondary structure includes four short double-helical elements and three loops (D, anti-codon, and T loops). Further hydrogen bonds mediate the characteristic L-shaped molecular structure. tRNAs have two regions of fundamental functional importance: the anti-codon, which is responsible for specific mRNA codon recognition, and the 3' end, to which the tRNAs corresponding amino acid is attached (by aminoacyl-tRNA synthetases). tRNAs cope with the degeneracy of the genetic code in two manners: having more than one tRNA (with a specific anti-codon) for a particular amino acid; and 'wobble' base-pairing, i.e. permitting non-standard base-pairing at the 3rd anti-codon position.
Source: RNAcentral
UAGCUCAGUUGGAUAGAGCAACGGCCUUCUAAGCCGUGGGUCGGGGGUUCGAAUCCCUUCGG